UCCGCCUCAUUCGAUCCAACACUCUUCCCAAAUCUCAAAUGGUGUUACAUAAUAAGAAGCAGCUACAAAACCCACCUUCCCACUCCUCCUCCUCUUUUAAGUCUUAUCCCAUCCAACCCUUUCCUCCGUGUUUAGUCGAUUGCUCAAGCCAACCCCGACUGCCAAUUAUGGCGACAAACAUUUUCGCUAAUAUUGAUAUUCUAUCGGAUCUUUCUCUUGGACUUGGUAUAGAAUUUCAAUGUCAAUCUUUGACGGAUGUUCCUCCACCACACAUGCAUUACACCAAUGCGUUCUUCUGCCUCAACAAAAUUUUUUUGUCGGAGGAUUAGCUAUUAUAAUUUCCUCCCGUUCAGGCUGGGUCACGCUGGGUCUCUAUGCAGGGGAUUAUCUAUCAUAAUUUUUUUUUUCAGUCCAAUCGUCAUCUUGAACUUAUGUCUUAUUGACUGAGGUUGAAUGCAAAACUGAAAAAAAAAAAAUAAUAAAAAUUAAAAAAAAAAUAAAAAAAUCUGUUGUACCAUCGCAUCAUCUGAAGUUAUUUUUCAAUGGUUUCUAAUAGUACAACGGACAAGAGAUGUGGCAGGCUAAAUUCUUCCCAACUAUUUUCUUUGUAUCUAUCGAUUUAGUUGAAUUUUCUCAUGCUGUAAAUGGUUGUAGGAUUUCAACUCUAACCAAAUUAGUUAACGAUUGACAGAGAUGGUUGUGUGCUUUUUGGAAGAUUACCGACGAAAAGUUCGAGUGUAUUUGUAACUAUUUUUCUUAUUUUCUUUUUCCAUUCCUUCUUACCUAAUUUUUACUAUAUUUUAUUUUUGAACAUCAUUUUCUUGAUUUAUCCUUUUUUAACUUUUAUCGUAAUUUCUUCUUUUUUACAUGUAAUUUUCUCCAUGCAUGAUUUUUCCUUCAUGUUGUACUACUAUAAGCUCAAUUCUUAAUCUAAGUUGUCUUAUAAUUUGAAUAUUUUGGUUAUUAAAUGGUGAGAAUAUUGGUGGUUAGAAUUUAAGCAUUUGAUUAGAGAAUUUUAUACAAUUUUAAGCUCAAAUUCUUGUUGUAUUUAAGUACUUGUGUUUAGAAAAAGAAAAAAAAUACAAGUUCAUUACCUAAUGCCAAAAUAAAUAAAUAAAAUAAAAAUUUUAGCACCUACAAUAUAAGUCAUCUCACUCCGCUGCGGUAUGCAAACAGAAAAGUAGAGAGUCAAAGAAAAUAUUAUUUUAUUUUGAACACGAACGUACUCAAAAAGAAACAUCAAUUUGUUUGUGUAUUGAUUUGAGUAUGACAAUGCACAUUAUUUUACACUUGAAUGACCAUACUUUCUCCUUCACUUGUAUUUUAUCUUUUCUCCUUCAUGAUUCUGACUUGUUUUGUUUUAUUGGUCUUUUCUACAUUUUCAGAAUGGAGUACUUUUCUGCUUUUUCAGUAUAGAGUAGUCUCUUCACAAAUUAACCUUUUUUAGUAAAUUGUUUAUCACAAAUGUGUGUUGUUUAGCGAGAGUGGAUAGAUAGCAGUCCUCUUGACCAGUAAAAGUCUAUGGUAAAAUGCUGGUGGUGUGGGAAAACUCUGAUUUAUGAACAAUUACUGAAUUACAAUCUUA
Molecule: long non-coding RNA, 1585 nt
Organism: Corylus avellana
Lineage: Eukaryota; Viridiplantae; Streptophyta; Magnoliopsida; Fagales; Betulaceae
Source: RefSeq, a predicted model, not a curated record